RNAcentral lists this transfer RNA (115 nucleotides) under Candidatus Woesearchaeota archaeon. RNAcentral describes it as "tRNA-His". The record is from RNAcentral. Lineage: Archaea; Nanobdellati; Candidatus Woesearchaeota.
GCGACGAUGGUGUAGCCUGGCUAGCACAUGAGACUGUGGAUCUCAUAGCCCGGGUUCAAAGGAGCAUCCUCCGCGAUGGGUAUGCGGGUGUACUCUGAAAUUCCCGGUCGUCGCC